Molecule: ribosomal RNA, 372 nt
Filed under: uncultured organism
Description: partial 16S ribosomal RNA
Rfam family: Bacterial small subunit ribosomal RNA
Source: RNAcentral
GUAGGGUCCAAGCGUUAAUCGGGAAUUACUGGGGCGUAAAGCGUGCGCAGGCGGCUGUGCAAGACCGAUGUGAAAUCCCCGGGGCUUAACCUGGGAAUUGCAUUGGUGACUGCACGGCUAGAGUGUGUCAGAGGGGGGUAGAAUUCCACGUGUAGCAGUGAAAUGCGUAGAGAUGUGGAGGAAUACCGAUGGCGAAGGCAGCCCCCUGGGAUAACACUGACGCUCAUGCACGAAAGCGUGGGGAGCAAACAGGAUUAGAUACCCUGGUAGUCCACGCCCUAAACGAUGUCAACUAGUUGUUGGGGAUUCAUUUCCUUAGUAACGUAGCUAACGCGUGAAGUUGACCGCCUGGGGAGUACGGUCGCAAGAUUA